Molecule: long non-coding RNA, 1164 nt
Organism: Cyprinus carpio (common carp)
Lineage: Eukaryota; Metazoa; Chordata; Actinopteri; Cypriniformes; Cyprinidae
Source: Ensembl
AGAGCGCGUGAGGGAAACUGCUACUGCACGACGCGAGUGAUGAACACCUGUGCGCAUCCCUGCGCCACCGGCACGCAGGUAUAAAGCAUAAAGCCAGUGUCGCUCGCGAGGAAAGAUGACAUGAUGGUUAUUGGCAUUUUUAAAGCGCUCGCCCUGCGAAUGCACCUUAAAACAAGGCACCCGGAGGGGCUCGCGCUGAUUCGACCCCAGUAAAGGGGUUCAAGAGCGGCUGAGGACAACUGUGAAUUAAUAAAAUGUUUCAAAACUGACCUAAACGCUCACUUUAGACAUCCCAAAUGCAGUCUUUGAGUACGGGAUAUGACUUACAGCCUGCGUUUAGACGGGAAUAUUGGCCAUUACCUGAACGAGAAACUCUAUUCUAAAACUCGUGAAGUACAAACGAUGUGUCGCGAUGCGCCUCAGGUAGAGCGCGCGCACAUUAACUGCUUUAAAUUGCAUGAAGCGCUUUAGCCAAGCCCAGUGUGUUAGAUUUAAAUGGUCCAGUUUUGACACAUUUGCUUUGCUCAACCGAGUAUCGGCGCUAAGGUAACCACUCUUGGCUCAGAGCCUGCUGUUUAGAACACGAAACAAAUUGACUUCUCCUCCCCCAAGUCUUUGCCUUUUGUAAUUUGCUCUGGCGUUGUUGUUUGUGUGUGACCAGCCCUGGGAUUUCACCUCGUCCUUGAGAGACCAGCGCAAAUCAACCCAAAUAAAACAUCCCGACCCUGUUCACCUCUCCCGGAGGGUCGUUUUCCUUCGCGACACGUGGACGAAGCCGUACACAGCAUUAGGGACCGAAGAGACGCAGCCUCUAUAGAGGGACUCAGACAGGGUGGGAGGAGAUCCCAGCAGGUAAAAGGACCCACCGCAGGUCACGACCACAAACAGCAUAUCAGCUGGCUAUUUCUGAACAGGCCAUUGUGCCUGAUUUCUGUCCACACAGACACACACACAAACACACACACACACGUGUCCUUUACACCUGGUUGUACUGUAGGUCCUGCUUAACGCUGUUGUAGUGCCAAUGGGAAUUUACAGUACAUACAAAAUACAAAAAAAAAAUCAGGAAGGUUUAUGUGAGGGUUAUAUUUAGGGUUAGAGGAUUGUUUUUAUUUGCCAUUAUUUUUAUGACCUGACCCUGAAUAAAGGUCACGUCAGCACACA